GUCGUAACAAGGUCUCCGUAGGUGAACCUGCGGAGGGAUCAUUACACAAAUAUGAAGGCGGGCUGGAACCUCUCGGGGUUACAGCCUUGCUGAAUUAUUCACCCUUGUCUUUUGCGUACUUCUUGUUUCCUUGGUGGGUUCGCCCACCACUAGGACAAACAUAAACCUUUUGUAAUUGCAAUCAGCGUCAGUUACAAAUUAAUAAUUACAACUUUCAACAACGGAUCUCUUGGUUCUGGCAUCGAUGAAGAACGCAGCGAAAUGCGAUAAGUAGUGUGAAUUGCAGAAUUCAGUGAAUCAUCGAAUCUUUGAACGCACAUUGCGCCCUUUGGUAUUCCAAAGGGCAUGCCUGUUCGAGCGUCAUUUGUACCCUCAAGCUUUGCUUGGUGUUGGGCGUCUUGUCUCUAGCUUUGCUGGAGACUCGCCUUAAAGUAAUUGGCAGCCGGCCUACUGGUUUCGGAGCGCAGCACAAGUCGCACUCUCUAUCAGCAAAGGUCUAGCAUCCAUUAAGCCUUUUUUUCAACUUUUGACCUCGGAUCAGGUAGGGAUACCCGCUGAACUUAAGCAUAUCA
RNAcentral lists this ribosomal RNA (572 nucleotides) under uncultured fungus. RNAcentral's name for it is "eukaryotic LSU rRNA". The stretch from base 210 to 363 matches the Rfam family "5.8S ribosomal RNA". The record is from RNAcentral. Lineage: Eukaryota; Fungi.